UAAAAAUUAGUUAAUUCAUAACAUGGGCUUGUCAAGCCCAAAUUAUCAGACACUGAUAUUUUUAA
This 65-nucleotide transfer RNA is filed under the name Notostomus gibbosus. Its description in RNAcentral is "tRNA-Asp". Lineage: Eukaryota; Metazoa; Arthropoda; Malacostraca; Decapoda; Oplophoridae. The record is from RNAcentral.